Molecule: ribosomal RNA, 347 nt
Filed under: uncultured bacterium
Lineage: Bacteria
Description: partial 16S ribosomal RNA
Rfam family: Bacterial small subunit ribosomal RNA
Source: RNAcentral
CCUACGGGAGACAGCAGUGAGGAAUAUUGGUCAAUGGACGAGAGUCUGAACCAGCCAAGUAGCGUGAAGGAUGAAUGCCCUAUGGGUUGUAAACUUCUUUUAUAAAGGAAUAAAACGAGGCACGUGUGCCUUUUUGCAUGUACGUUAUGAAUAAGGAUCGGCUAACUCCGUGCCAGCAGCCGCGGUAAUACGGAGGAUCCGAGCGUUAUCCGGAUUUAUUGGGUUUAAAGGGAGCGUAGAUGGGUUGUUAAGUCAGUUGUGAAAGUUUGCGGCUCAACCGUAAAAUUGCAUUUGAUACUGGCAGUCUUGUGUACAGUUGAGGUAGGCGGCAUUCGUGGUGUAGCGGU